AAAGUGUGGUAAUUUGGCGUCUGUUUCAGCAACUAUUCUUCAAGGUGUAAGAGAAACAUGUGGACAAGGAUUAUGUUUUGAAGAAAGAACUUAUAGUGAAGUAGUAAGUGGGUUUCUUCAAAAUGGGAGCAUAAAAGAUUUAGCUAUGUUGAUCAGUGAAACUCAGACCUUGGAAUCUCCAUCUGUGAUUGUUGAGAGAUCCGUUGGAUAUGGCAUCAUAAAUGCUUGCGUUAAUCUUGGGUUAUUGGACAAGGCACACACGAUAUUUGAUGAAAUGAAU
This 280-nucleotide unclassified non-coding RNA is filed under the name Hevea brasiliensis (rubber tree). The record is from RNAcentral. Lineage: Eukaryota; Viridiplantae; Streptophyta; Magnoliopsida; Malpighiales; Euphorbiaceae.